AAUGAAAUGCCUGAUAAAAGGGUUACUUUGAUAGAGUAAAUCAUGUAGAGUUUCUACUUUCAUUA
This 65-nucleotide transfer RNA is filed under the name unidentified. Its description in RNAcentral is "Epeorus sp. 02 ZXM-2022a tRNA-Ile". The record is from RNAcentral.